This is a long non-coding RNA of Arachis stenosperma, 561 nucleotides long. RefSeq lists it as uncharacterized. NCBI's taxonomy places the organism in Eukaryota, Viridiplantae, Streptophyta, Magnoliopsida, Fabales, Fabaceae. The record is from RefSeq and is a predicted model, not a curated record. The transcript is spliced from 3 exons.
CGGUUAAUUGAAAACGACGUUAAAAACAUAAAAACAAGAGAGUAAAUUGCAAACCAUUGAACUAAACAGUGAGAAACCCUAGCCUCUAAUCCUCCGUUCUCCGUCUCUUCUUCUCUGUUCUUUUCGCCGCCGGUUCUGCUCUCCCAGUCACCGCCGGUUCUGCUCUCUCCCAGUCGCCUCCUGUCUUGUUCUGCUGCUGUGUCUUCGUGGUUUUCUGUAGUUUUGCUGCGCUGUCUUGCUCUAGUUCUUGCCUCCGCUGUCUUUGUCCGCUUUUGGUUCGCUGGGUGCGCUCUUGGUAGAUCUCCGGAGGUGCGACUGUUCCGAUUUUAAAAACAAUGAGGGCCGCUGCUUCUCAGAGAUGGGGCUACUUUCGAAUCAUUGCUGGUACAAUCAUAGGAGGCGUCAUCGGAUUCUAUUUUAUGCACCGCAUGGAAAAUAAUUAUAAGGAGAAGAUGAAUGAAAGAUUGAGAAAUUAUGAAGCUGAAUUGAAGAGGAAGAAGCAGGAGAGAUUGGAUGAGUUUGACGAAUCAUCAUAGUCUUCAACUCAUUGGGCUGUCUGCG